This 827-nucleotide ribosomal RNA is filed under the name Xylella fastidiosa. RNAcentral's name for it is "bacterial LSU rRNA". It matches the Rfam family "Bacterial large subunit ribosomal RNA", at positions 1 to 881 of the family's 2925-position model. Lineage: Bacteria; Pseudomonadati; Pseudomonadota; Gammaproteobacteria; Lysobacterales; Lysobacteraceae. The record is from RNAcentral.
GUUAUAUGGUCAAGCGAAUAAGCGCACAUGGUGGAUGCCUUGGCGGUCAGAGGCGAUGAAGGACGUGGUAGCCUGCGAAAAGUGUCGGGGAGCUGGCAACAAGCUUUGAUCCGGCAAUAUCCGAAUGGGGGAACCCACUGUUUAGGCAGUAUCUUUGAGUAAAUUCAUAGCUCAAGGAGGCGAACCUGGUGAACUGAAAUAUCUAAGUAACCAGAGGAAAAGAAAUCAACAGAGAUUCCCUGAGUAGUGACGAGCGAACGGGGAUUAGCCCUUAAGCUAGUAUGGUUUUAGGAAAGCAAUCUGGGAAGGUUGGCCAUAGAAGGUGAUAGCCCUGUAUCCGAAAGGGCCGUACUAGUGAAGAUGAGUAGGACGGGGCACGUGAAACCUUGUCUGAAUAUGGGGGGUCCAUCCUCCAAGGCUAAAUACUCCUGACCGACCGAUAGUGAACUAGUACCGUGAGGGAAAGGCGAAAAGAACCCCGGAGAGGGGAGUGAAAUAGAACCUGAAACCAUGUGCGUACAAGCAGUAGGAGCCCUUAUGGGUGACUGCGUACCUUUUGUAUAAUGGGUCAGCGACUUACUGUUCGUGGCGAGCUUAACCGUAUAGGGGAGGCGAAGGGAAACCGAGUCUGAUAAGGGCGCAUAGUCGCGGGCAGUAGACCCGAAACCGGGUGAUCUAGUCAUGUCCAGGGUGAAGGUGCUGUAACAGGUACUGGAGGCCCGAACCCACUCCCGUUGCAAAGGUAGGGGAUGAGGCGUGAUUAGGAGUGAAAAGCUAAUCGAACCCGGAGAUAGCUGGUUCUCCUCGAAAGCUAUUUAGGUAGCGCC